AAUAAUGUCCAGGCAGGGGCCAGGGGAGCUCGUGCCAAGGCACUGAGGGGAAGUGCUGCAAUGAACCUCAGAGGCUGGAUCUUGCUGACUCAUCUGGGGUACCAAGGACAGGUAAAGUACACGGAGCCCAGGCCCAGGAGGGGACACCAGGCCAGCAGUUUCACUGACGCUCUUGUCAUGAUGACGACUGCCUCCCUCCUCCCCUUGGUCCCUGACUCAGUGUCUGCAGUGACCAGGCACCAGGCAGGGAGCAAGGAACCAAGCCUUUCACCUGCUCCCACCAACUCCUAUGGUACUCCCUUUCCAAGGCUAGGUCUCCUCUCCACCCGGUUCCUUAUCACGUACCGUGAGAAGCUGUCACCUUGGCAACUGUCACCUUCUGGUGAGAUUUACAGUUGCACUGCUACAACUGCUUGUGGCAUGGUAAAGUUGCACCAGGACCUCUGCUGUCCAUGAGAUCAAAGUUCCAGGCCACGGUGAGCACCCGCCUCCAUUC
Molecule: small RNA, 496 nt
Filed under: Pongo abelii (Sumatran orangutan)
Lineage: Eukaryota; Metazoa; Chordata; Mammalia; Primates; Hominidae
Description: retained intron
Source: RNAcentral